GCGCUUACCUGGCAGGGAAAACACCAUAAUCAUGAGGGUGGUUUUCCCAAGGCAAGAUUUAUCCAUUGCACUCGGGAUCUGCUGACCCCUGAGAUUUCCACACUUGGGGAAAACUCAACUGCAUAAUUUGUGUUGGUGGAGGGUUGCUUGCACACUUUCC
This 160-nucleotide small nuclear RNA is filed under the name Dasypus novemcinctus (nine-banded armadillo). RNAcentral's name for it is "U1 spliceosomal RNA (ENSDNOG00000036057.1)". It matches the Rfam family "U1 spliceosomal RNA". Rfam says of the family: U1 is a small nuclear RNA (snRNA) component of the spliceosome (involved in pre-mRNA splicing). The record is from RNAcentral. Lineage: Eukaryota; Metazoa; Chordata; Mammalia; Cingulata; Dasypodidae.